AAUGAACGCUGGCGGCGUGCCUAAUACAUGCAAGUCGAGCGACAACACAAGAAGCUUUCUCUCUUGACGUUGGCGGCGGACGGGUGAGUAACAAGUAGAUCACCUACCACUAAGACGUGGAUGACAUCGGGAAACCGGUGACACUACCGGAUAAUACGUCCUACGGGUUAAUUCAAUGGAGAUACGCACCUUUCCUGUCUCUAUUAGCCGACGUCGCAUUAGCUAGUUGGCGAGGUAACGGCCCACCAAGGCAACGAUGCGUAGCCGAUCUGAGAGGAUGAUCAGCCACACUGGAACUGAGACACGGUCCAGACUCCUACGGGAGGCAGCAGUGGGGAAUCUUCGGCAAUGGGCGAAAGCCUGAUGGAGCCACGCCGCGUGGGUGAUGAAGGCCUUCGGGUCGUAAAACCCUGUUAUUAGGGAAGAACAAAUGUGGAAUUAACUCUGGACGUCUUGACGGUACCUAAACAGAAAGCCACGGCUAACUACGUG
This 492-nucleotide ribosomal RNA is filed under the name uncultured bacterium. RNAcentral's name for it is "partial 16S ribosomal RNA". It matches the Rfam family "Bacterial small subunit ribosomal RNA", at positions 29 to 507 of the family's 1533-position model. The record is from RNAcentral.